UUUGGAUCAUCUCCUCGUGCA
Molecule: non-coding RNA, 21 nt
Filed under: Arabidopsis thaliana (thale cress)
Lineage: Eukaryota; Viridiplantae; Streptophyta; Magnoliopsida; Brassicales; Brassicaceae
Source: RNAcentral